This 253-nucleotide ribosomal RNA is filed under the name uncultured bacterium. RNAcentral's name for it is "partial 16S ribosomal RNA". It matches the Rfam family "Bacterial small subunit ribosomal RNA", at positions 524 to 776 of the family's 1533-position model. The record is from RNAcentral.
UACGUAGGUGGCGAGCGUUGUCCGGAUUUACUGGGCGUAAAGAGCGCGCAGGCGGUCGUCCAAGUCGCGUGUGAAAGCCCCCGGCUCAACUGGGGAGGGUCACGCGAUACUGAUCGACUCGAAGGCAGGAGAGGGUAGUGGAAUUCCCGGUGUAGUGGUGAAAUGCGUAGAUAUCGAGAGGAACACCUGCGGCGAAGGCGGGUUGCUGGGCUGAUACUGACGCUGAGGCGCGAAAGCCAGGGGAGCGAACGGG